Molecule: ribosomal RNA, 743 nt
Filed under: uncultured Gammaproteobacteria bacterium
Lineage: Bacteria; Pseudomonadati; Pseudomonadota; Gammaproteobacteria
Description: bacterial SSU rRNA
Rfam family: Bacterial small subunit ribosomal RNA
Source: RNAcentral
UGCUUAACACAUGCAAGUCGAACGGUAACAGGCCUUCGGGUGCUGACGAGUGGCGGACGGGUGAGUAACGCGUAGGAAUCUGCCUCAUAGUGGGGGACAACGUGGGGAAACUCACGCUAAUACCGCAUACGCCCUACGGGGGAAAGGAGGGGAUCUUCGGACCUUUCGCUAUGAGAUGAGCCUGCGUUAGAUUAGCUAGUUGGUAGGGUAAAGGCCUACCAAGGCGACGAUCUAUAGCUGGUCUGAGAGGACGAUCAGCCACACUGGGACUGAGACACGGCCCAGACUCCUACGGGAGGCAGCAGUGGGGAAUAUUGGACAAUGGGCGAAAGCCUGAUCCAGCAAUACCGCGUGUGUGAAGAAGGCCUUAGGGUUGUAAAGCACUUUCAAUUGGGAGGAAAACCUGCCGGCCAAUACCCGGUAGCUUGACAUUACCUUUAGAAGAAGCACCGGGUAACUCCGUGCCAGCAGCCGCGGUAAUACGGAGGGUGCGAGCGUUAAUCGGAAUUACUGGGCGUAAAGCGUGCGUAGGCGGUUCGUUAAGUCAGAUGUGAAAGCCCUGGGCUCAACCUGGGAACUGCAUUUGAAACUGGCGGACUAGAGUUUAGUAGAGGGGAGUGGAAUUUCAGGUGUAGCGGUGAAAUGCGUAGAUAUCUGAAGGAACACCAGUGGCGAAGGCGACUCCCUGGACUAGAACUGACGCUGAGGUACGAAAGCGUGGGUAGCAAACAGGAUUAGAUACC